Molecule: small nucleolar RNA, 88 nt
Organism: Arabidopsis thaliana (thale cress)
Lineage: Eukaryota; Viridiplantae; Streptophyta; Magnoliopsida; Brassicales; Brassicaceae
Rfam family: Plant small nucleolar RNA SNOR75
About the family: U15 is a member of the C/D class of snoRNA which contain the C (UGAUGA) and D (CUGA) box motifs.
Source: Rfam
UCUCAGUGAUGAAGGAACAAUAGAUGACGAGUCCGAUGAAAUCCAUUCAUUAAAUCAUGGGGACAAACGAGGCAUUUGUCUGAGAGGA